UGGGGAAUAUUGCACAAUGGGCGCAAGCCUGAUGCAGCCAUGCCGCGUGUAUGAAGAAGGCCUUCGGGUUGUAAAGUACUUUCAGCGGGGAGGAAGGGAGUAAAGUUAAUACCUUUGCUCAUUGACGUUACCCGCAGAAGAAGCACCGGCUAACUCCGUGCCAGCAGCCGCGGUAAUACGGAGGGUGCAAGCGUUAAUCGGAAUUACUGGGCGUAAAGCGCACGCAGGCGGUCUGUCAAGUCGGAUGUGAAAUCCCCGGGCUCAACCUGGGAACUGCAUUCGAAACUGGCAGGCUAGAGUCUUGUAGAGGGGGGUAGAAUUCCAGGUGUAGCGGUGAAAUGCGUAGAGAUCUGGAGGAAUACCGGUGGCGAAGGCGGCCCCCUGGACAAAGACUGACGCUCAGGUGCGAAAGCGUGGGGAGCAAACAG
RNAcentral lists this ribosomal RNA (428 nucleotides) under Chloroflexota bacterium. RNAcentral describes it as "Chloroflexi bacterium partial 16S ribosomal RNA". It matches the Rfam family "Bacterial small subunit ribosomal RNA", at positions 355 to 775 of the family's 1533-position model. Lineage: Bacteria; Bacillati; Chloroflexota. The record is from RNAcentral.